Molecule: non-coding RNA, 30 nt
Filed under: Rattus norvegicus (Norway rat)
Lineage: Eukaryota; Metazoa; Chordata; Mammalia; Rodentia; Muridae
Source: RNAcentral
UUACAGUGUGUACAUGUGUUUACACAUGCC